AACGAACGCUGGCGGCAUGCCUAACACAUGCAAGUCGAACGAGACCUUCGGGUCUAGUGGCGAACGGGUGCGUAACGCGUGGGAACCUGCCCUUAGGUUCGGAAUAACUCCCCGAAAGGGGUGCUAAUACCGGAUAAUGUUUUCGGACCAAAGAUUUAUCGCCUUUGGAUGGGCCCGCGUUGGAUUAGCUAGUUGGUAGGGUAAAAGCCGACCAAGGCGACGAUCCAUAGCUGGUCUGAGAGGAUGAGCAGCCAAACUGGGACUGGGACACGGCCCAGACUCCUACGGGAGGCAGCAGUGGGGAAUAUUGGGCAAUGGGCGAAAGCCUGAUCCAGCAAUGCCGCGUGAGUGAUGAAGGCCUUAGGGUUGUAAGGCUCUUUUACCCGGGAUGAUAAUGACAGUACCGGGAGAAUAAGCUCCGGCGAACUCCGU
This 432-nucleotide ribosomal RNA is filed under the name uncultured bacterium. RNAcentral's name for it is "partial 16S ribosomal RNA". It matches the Rfam family "Bacterial small subunit ribosomal RNA", at positions 29 to 506 of the family's 1533-position model. The record is from RNAcentral.